GAUGAACGCUGGCGGCGUGCCUAAUACAUGCAAGUCGAGCGAACGGACGAGAAGCUUGCUUCUCUGAUGUUAGCGGCGGACGGGUGAGUAACACGUGGAUAACCUACCUAUAAGACUGGGAUAACUUCGGGAAACCGGAGCUAAUACCGGAUAAUAUUUUGAACCGCAUGGUUCAAAAGUGAAAGACGGUCUUGCUGUCACUUAUAGAUGGAUCCGCGCUGCAUUAGCUAGUUGGUAAGGUAACGGCUUACCAAGGCAACGAUGCAUAGCCGACCUGAGAGGGUGAUCGGCCACACUGGACCUGAGACACGGUCCAGACUCCUACGGGAGGCAGCAGUAGGGAAUCUUCCGCAAUGGGCGAAAGCCUGACGGAGCAACGCCGCGUGAGUGAUGAAGGUCUUCGGAUCGUAAAACUCUGUUAUUAGGGAAGAACAUAUGUGUAAGUAACUGUGCACAUCUUGACGGGACCUAAUCAGAAAGCCACGGCUAACUACGU
This 496-nucleotide ribosomal RNA is filed under the name uncultured bacterium. RNAcentral's name for it is "partial 16S ribosomal RNA". It matches the Rfam family "Bacterial small subunit ribosomal RNA", at positions 28 to 506 of the family's 1533-position model. The record is from RNAcentral.